Camelus dromedarius (Arabian camel) is the source of this 203-nucleotide long non-coding RNA. RefSeq lists it as uncharacterized. The record is from RefSeq and is a predicted model, not a curated record. Lineage: Eukaryota; Metazoa; Chordata; Mammalia; Artiodactyla; Camelidae. The transcript has 3 exons.
UCACAAAGGUCCUGAUAAGGGAGAGGAGGAAGGUCAACGAUGGAGAAGGAAGGAACAGACUUCACCAUACCACUGUCAGGACUGGCGAUUGGACUACUUUGGGUCGACUGGAUGCAGAUUCUCUUAUCUGACUAAAAACUUAUUCUGGCAGAAGACGCGAGACCCCUGGAUCGGAGACAAAUGACUAUUACUCACCGACCACA